UACGUAGGGCGCAAGCGUUGUCCGGAAUUAUUGGGCGUAAAGAGCUCGUAGGCGGCUUGUCACGUCGGGUGUGAAAGCCCGGGGCUUAACCCCGGGUCUGCAUUCGAUACGGGCUAGCUAGAGUGUGGUAGGGGAGAUCGGAAUUCCUGGUGUAGCGGUGAAAUGCGCAGAUAUCAGGAAGAACACCCGUGGCGAAAGCGGCUCUCUGGAACGGUACUGACGCUGAGACGCGAAAGCGUGGGGAGCGAACAGG
Molecule: ribosomal RNA, 253 nt
Filed under: uncultured bacterium
Lineage: Bacteria
Description: partial 16S ribosomal RNA
Rfam family: Bacterial small subunit ribosomal RNA
Source: RNAcentral